RNAcentral lists this ribosomal RNA (396 nucleotides) under Erwinia sp. TzT-JG-2-8. RNAcentral's name for it is "bacterial SSU rRNA". It matches the Rfam family "Bacterial small subunit ribosomal RNA", at positions 47 to 438 of the family's 1533-position model. Lineage: Bacteria; Pseudomonadati; Pseudomonadota; Gammaproteobacteria; Enterobacterales; Erwiniaceae. The record is from RNAcentral.
CCUAACACAUGCAAGUCGAACGGUAGCACAGAGAGCUUGCUCUUGGGUGACGAGUGGCGGCCGGGUGAGUAAUGUCUGGGAAACUGCCUGAUGGAGGGGGAUAACUACUGGAAACGGUAGCUAAUACCGCAUAACGUCUUCGGACCAAAGUGGGGGACCUUCGGGCCUCACACCAUCGGAUGUGCCCAGAUGGGAUUAGCUAGUAGGUGGGGUAAUGGCUCACCUAGGCUGACGAUCCCUAGCUGGUCUGAGAGGAUGACCAGCCACACUGGAACUGAGACACGGUCCAGACUCCUACGGGAGGCAGCAGUGGGGAAUAUUGCACAAUGGGCGCCAAGCCUGAUGCAGCCAUGCCCGCGUGUAUGAAGAAGGCCUUCGGGUUGUAAAGUACUUUCA